GAAACACCAAUUCUCGUACGAUCACCAAGGUUAAGCAGUCUCGAGUCUGGUCAGUCCCCAGAUGGGUAACCGCUUGGGAAUACUAGGUGCUAUAA
Acanthosepion pharaonis is the source of this 95-nucleotide non-coding RNA. NCBI's taxonomy places the organism in Eukaryota, Metazoa, Mollusca, Cephalopoda, Sepiida, Sepiidae. The record is from the annotation of a GenBank genome assembly.